RNAcentral lists this ribosomal RNA (485 nucleotides) under uncultured bacterium. Its description in RNAcentral is "partial 16S ribosomal RNA". It matches the Rfam family "Bacterial small subunit ribosomal RNA", at positions 355 to 832 of the family's 1533-position model. The record is from RNAcentral.
UAGGGAAUCUUCGGCAAUGGACGAAAGUCUGACCGAGCAACGCCGCGUGAGUGAAGAAGGUUUUCGGAUCGUAAAACUCUGUUGUUAGAGAAGAACGUUGCAUAGAGUGGAAAAUUAUGCAAGUGACGGUAUCUAACCAGAAAGGGACGGCUAACUACGUGCCAGCAGCCGCGGUAAUACGUAGGUCCCGAGCGUUGUCCGGAUUUAUUGGGCGUAAAGCGAGCGCAGGUGGUUUAAUAAGUCUGAUGUAAAAGGCAGUGGCUCAACCAUUGUGUGCAUUGGAAACUGUUAGACUUGAGUGCAGUAGAGGAGAGUGGAAUUCCAUGUGUAGCGGUGAAAUGCGUAGAUAUAUGGAGGAACACCGGUGGCGAAAGCGGCUCUCUGGACUGUCACUGACACUGAGGCUCGAAAGCGUGGGUAGCAAACAGGAUUAGAUACCCUGGUAGUCCACGCCGUAAACGAUGAGUGCUAGUUGUUGGGGCUAU